GACGAACCGUGCAAACGUUGUUCGGAAUCACUGGGCUUAAAGGGCGCGUAGGCGGAUAUUCAAGUCGGUGGUGAAAUCCCCCAGCUUAACUGGGGAACUGCCUUCGAUACUGGGUAUCUCGAGUGAGGUAGGGGCAUGCGGAACUGAUGGUGGAGCGGUGAAAUGUGUUGAUAUCAUCAGGAACUCCGGUGGCGAAAGCGGCGUGCUGGACCUCAACUGACGCUGAGGCGCGAAAGCUAGGGGAGCAAACGGGAUUAGAUACCCCGGUAGUCCUAGCCCUAAACGAUGAGAACUAGGUAGUGGACUUGACAUGGGUUCACUGCCGGAGCAAAAGUGCUAAGUUCUCCGCCUGGGGAGUAUGGUCGCAAGGCUGAA
This 375-nucleotide ribosomal RNA is filed under the name uncultured bacterium. RNAcentral describes it as "bacterial SSU rRNA". It matches the Rfam family "Bacterial small subunit ribosomal RNA", at positions 524 to 898 of the family's 1533-position model. The record is from RNAcentral.